UUGGAGGGCAAGUCUGGUGCCAGCAGCCGCGGUAAUUCCAGCUCCAAUAGCGUAUAUUAAAGUUGUUGCAGUUAAAAAGCUCGUAGUUGAAUUUCGGGAUCGGCGGAUCGGUCGCGCCAUCGGUGUGUACUGGUCCAGUCGGUUUCUCCCUUCUGACAAACCACGAUGUCAUUAAUUUGGUGUCGCGGGGAAUCAGGACUGUUACUUUGAAAAAAUUAGAGUGUUUAAAGCAGGCAUUCGCUUGAAUACAUUAGCAUGGAAUAAUGAAAUAGGACGUUUGAUCUUAUUUUGUUGGUUUCUAAGAUCGACGUAAUGAUUAAUAGGGAUAGUUGGGGGCAUUAGUAUUCAAUUGUCAGAGGUGAAAUUCUUGGAUUUAUUGAAGACUAACUACUGCGAAAGCAUUUGCCAAGGAUGUUUUCAUUAAUCAAGAACGAAAGUUAGGGGAUCGAAGACGAUCAGAUACCGUCGUAGUCUUAACCAUAAACUAUGCCGACUAGGGAUCGGAUGAUGUUAAUUUUUUAAUGACUCAUUCGGCGCCUUACGGGAAAC
Molecule: ribosomal RNA, 549 nt
Filed under: uncultured Glomus
Lineage: Eukaryota; Fungi; Glomeromycota; Glomeromycetes; Glomerales; Glomeraceae
Description: SSU rRNA
Rfam family: Eukaryotic small subunit ribosomal RNA
Source: RNAcentral